This 803-nucleotide ribosomal RNA is filed under the name Vibrio alginolyticus. RNAcentral describes it as "bacterial SSU rRNA". It matches the Rfam family "Bacterial small subunit ribosomal RNA", at positions 656 to 1454 of the family's 1533-position model. The record is from RNAcentral. Lineage: Bacteria; Pseudomonadati; Pseudomonadota; Gammaproteobacteria; Vibrionales; Vibrionaceae.
GGGGGUUAGAAUUUCAGGUGUAGCGGGUGAAAUGCGUAGAGAUCUGAAGGGAAUACCCGGUGGCGAAGGCGGCCCCCCUGGACAGAUACUGACACUCAGAUGCGAAAGCGUGGGGAGCAAACAGGAUUAGAUACCCUGGUAGUGCACGCCGUAAAACGAUGUCUACUUGGAGGUUGUGGCCCUUGAGCCGUGGCUUUCGGAGCUAACGCGUUAAGUAGACCGCCUGGGGAGUACGGUCGCAAGAUUAAAACUCAAAUGAAUUGACGGGGGCCCGCACAAGCGGUGGAGCAUGUGGUUUAAUUCGAUGCAACGCGAAGAACCUUACCUACUCUUGACAUCCAGAGAACUUUCCAGAGAUGGAUUGGUGCCUUCGGGAACUCUGAGACAGGUGCUGCAUGGCUGUCGUCAGCUCGUGUUGUGAAAUGUUGGGUUAAGUCCCGCAACGAGCGCAACCCUUAUCCUUGUUUGCCAGCGAGUAAUGUCGGGAACUCCAGGGAGACUGCCGGUGAUAAACCGGAGGAAGGUGGGGACGACGUCAAGUCAUCAUGGCCCUUACGAGUAGGGCUACACACGUGCUACAAUGGCGCAUACAGAGGGCGGCCAACUUGCGAAAGUGAGCGAAUCCCAAAAAGUGCGUCGUAGUCCGGAUUGGAGUCUGCAACUCGACUCCAUGAAGUCGGAAUCGCUAGUAAUCGUGGAUCAGAAUGCCACGGUGAAUACGUUCCCGGGCCUUGUACACACCGCCCGUCACACCAUGGGAGUGGGCUGCAAAAGAAGUAGGUAGUUAACCUCGGGGGGACGCU